Molecule: non-coding RNA, 148 nt
Filed under: Homo sapiens (human)
Lineage: Eukaryota; Metazoa; Chordata; Mammalia; Primates; Hominidae
Source: Rfam by way of RNAcentral
GCUGGGCGUAGUGGCGCGCGCCUGUAAUCCCAGCUACUUGGGAGGCUGGGGCAGGAGAAUCGCUUGAACCCGGGAGGCAGAGGUUGCAGUGAGCCGAGAUCGCACCACUGCAUUCCAGCCUGGGCAACAGGGCGAGACUCUGUCUCAA